Molecule: ribosomal RNA, 253 nt
Filed under: uncultured bacterium
Lineage: Bacteria
Description: partial 16S ribosomal RNA
Rfam family: Bacterial small subunit ribosomal RNA
Source: RNAcentral
UACGGGGGGGGCAAGCGUUGUUCGGAAUUACUGGGCGUAAAGCGCAUGUAGGCGGUUGGAUAAGUUGCGUGUGAAAGCUCCUGGCUAAACUAGGAGAGGACAGGCAAGACUGUUCGGCUAGAGGGUGGUAGAGGGGCACAGAAUUCGGGGUGUAGCGGUGAAAUGUGUAGAGAUCCCGAGGAAUACCAGUGGUGAAGACGGUGCCCUGGGCCAUACCUGACGCUGAGAUGCGAAAGCGUGGGGAGCGAACAGG